AUACGUAGGGGGCGAGCGUUGUCCGGAAUGAUUGGGCGUAAAGGGCGCGUAGGCGGCCCGGUAAGUCUGGAGUGAAAGUCCUGUUUUUAAGAUGGGAAUUGCUUUGGAUACUGUCGGGCUUGAGUGCAGGAGAGGUAAAUGGAAUUCCCAGUGUAGCGGUGAAAUGCGUAGAGAUUGGGAGGAACACCAGUGGCGAAGGCGAAUUACGAGACUGUAGCUGAAUCUGAGGCGCCAAAGUGUGGGGAGCAAACAGGAUGAGAUACCCUGGUAGUCCACGCUGUAAACGAUGAAUGCUAGGUGUAGGGAGUAUAGCCCCCUUCUGUGCCGCAGGCAACACAAUAAGCAUUCCGGCUGGGGAGUUAGGCCGCAAGGUGGAAACUUAAAGGAAUUUACUGGG
Molecule: ribosomal RNA, 397 nt
Filed under: uncultured bacterium
Lineage: Bacteria
Description: partial 16S ribosomal RNA
Rfam family: Bacterial small subunit ribosomal RNA
Source: RNAcentral